GGCGAGAUAGCUCAGUUGGCUAGAGCACACGGUUCAUACCCGUGGUGUCGAGGGUUCGAAUCCCCCUCUCGCUACUA
RNAcentral lists this transfer RNA (77 nucleotides) under Pseudobutyrivibrio ruminis. Its description in RNAcentral is "tRNA-Met". It matches the Rfam family "tRNA". From Rfam's summary of the family: Transfer RNA (tRNA) molecules are approximately 80 nucleotides in length. Their secondary structure includes four short double-helical elements and three loops (D, anti-codon, and T loops). The record is from RNAcentral. Lineage: Bacteria; Bacillati; Bacillota; Clostridia; Lachnospirales; Lachnospiraceae. RNAcentral also lists the same sequence under 51 other names.